CGUGUAUGCACACCGUAUAUAUUUGAUGCAAAAAUGGCUUCAGGGUCCCUGAGCUGCUCGAAGUACUCCUUCCAAAGAUGAUUUUGUGUAUGUUGAGCAGUUUUCCUGACUGCUGGUUCAGUGCAGUGUAGACGGAGGAAGCAGUAGCGCCUGCCUCAGCAGCUUAUAGACAUGUCGGCCAUCUGUGGAGAUUUUUAUUUCCAAAUGUCUUCUGGAUGUUUAGCUUGGGUAGAAAUGUGAAGUUACUCUUCUUAUGGCAUGUUUCUACCGUGCCUCUGCUCCUCGUUACCAUUCAGUUGUUACCUUCCCAUGUUCAUAGAACCUUAUGGUGCUGCGUUGUCUCUUUUGGGAACCGGUGGCAGGAAGACAGUAAAGCCAGAAUGCUUUCAGUGUUGGCACGUCUUUUGUCCUUCAAGAGCAGGAAGAAUAGGAAUGACCCCUCUCUUGGCCUAUAUAUAUAUAUAUAUAUACACACACACACACACAUGUAUGUAUUUUGUGGAGGAAAUGGGUCCUACAGAUCAAUUCUUUUCUAUUUCUUAAGUCUGUGAGCACAUCGGAUAAUGUUUAUUUUUCUUUCUUUGAUUUUCGCACUGGGGUUAACAUACGAGGAAACAGAAAGCAUACGGCAAUAAAUAUUUACUCUUGUGGGAGUCAGGCUUAGCUCUUGGGAAGUGAGUGGGAGUACUCAGUCUACUUCAAAGGGACUUGGAGCGAGCUCUUCAUGCUGUGCUGGAAGAACUGAAGUUUUCUUGAGUUCUCCAGUUCUGCAAGCACUUACACUGGGAAUUUAGUGCUGCUGAUUUUCAUGAAUCUGUUAUGCAAAGCUCAUCCCCUCUGGAGCUUGGGCUUCUGUUAGGUAUCUCAGUAAGAGCAUUUGAAGCCUGCUGAUAAAGUCUGUGUUGCUAUGAAGAAGCGCUUUUGUCUGUAUGGGAAAGCUCUGACCACAAGCUUUGGUUUCUUCCCUCUUUUCUUUUAUAAUUCCUAGAAAGAGAAGGAGAGAUGUGUAGACAAAUGAUAAUAUCUUGCAGGAAUCAGUAGUAAAUAGUUCCCAUUCAUAUUUAAAUAGUGGGCAUUGAAUGACGCUGAAAUCCUAUGUGACAUCAUUAUCAGAUGUUUUUUAGCCCUUUCCAGGAGCAGGUUUAGGACCAGAUUAUUUGUGGCAGAAGAUGACAGCAACGUGCAAGGCAGCAAAAAGGCACCA
Molecule: long non-coding RNA, 1204 nt
Filed under: Gallus gallus (chicken)
Lineage: Eukaryota; Metazoa; Chordata; Aves; Galliformes; Phasianidae
Description: lncRNA (ENSGALG00010008717.1)
Source: RNAcentral